Long non-coding RNA from Oxyura jamaicensis (ruddy duck), 1208 nucleotides. RefSeq lists it as uncharacterized. NCBI's taxonomy places the organism in Eukaryota, Metazoa, Chordata, Aves, Anseriformes, Anatidae. The transcript has 3 exons. The record is from RefSeq and is a predicted model, not a curated record.
AAGGAAUUAAUUGAAAGCAAGGUCACCCAAGAUUUCCCACGUAACUGAUGAAGAAAGCUCUCUGUCAUCAUAGGGAAAUAUCUGACCAACUGCAAGGUGGAAGCUAAAAUGAGGGAUACACUCUUGAGGGGUAUUUCAGUAGAGACCAGUAGUGCCACAUCCUCUUCUUCCUGUUGGUGACUGGUGGAUGAGAAGACUGUCUGAAGAAUGUGAGGAUAGCUCUAUCUGGCAUAUCUUUCGAUCCACCCCCUCAAAGCAGAUAAUAUUCAUUUCCAGCAUGCUAAUGCAAGAUAACAAGGAGGCCAGCACAAAGCAUUCCUCCAGUGGAAUCUGUGAGAAUAAAAAGUGACUGGAUACUGUCAGUUAACCCUAAUCCAAAUGCAAAGAGCUCACCCUAUUAACAAUGAGUCAUUUUUUACAUGUUUCUUAGAUCUAAAACUAUCUUGUCCCUAAGUAGCCUUUAUGAAAUGUACAGAUUUGAAUUCAUUGCAGGACUGGAUUUGCCACAACUACCACUGGAACUCUAUUUUUUCCUUUUUUAAAAUAAGAAAAAGAAGACGGAAGAUUUUAUUUUACGAUCCAUUUAAUGGCAUGUUUUUAAUAAAUAUGAUCCUUCUUUGUGAAAAAAAAAAAAAAUCCUUUUGUAAAAACAAACUAUCUCAGAUCAUAGAGCUGAUACUUCAAAGAAGUCUUUGCAUCGACUGAAUAAUGAGUUGCAAAGAAACUAUGGUAUGGACUGGAAUCCAUCUACUAAUGAAGAAUUGAACUUGCAUUUAUACACACAGUUUCACUACCCAGCUCAAAUUGCAGAAGACAAUGCUUUUGAGCCAACUGCAGUCACCAAACUAUCUCAACUCUUUCUAGUGAUCUGAUUCUUGUUUUUCAUUUGCCUUUUUCACUUGUAAUCAAAAUCAUCAUCAGUCACUGCUAAUUUAAACUUAUGAUUAAAUAAUAUCAGCUUAGUUUAGUGGUCAUCAUUAAGAGAAAGGAUUUGCCAACAGCUGAUCAUGUUGUUGUUCCUAAUGACUCUGCUCCUAGAAUUCCAUUCUACAAGGACUUGCUCACGUCAGUAAGAUUUACACAUAGGAACAUGGUUUUGAAAAAUUCUUUAAUCAUGAGAUGCUGCAGAACACUCAGUUCUCCAUCAUUAAAUGGAGAAAUAUUUUACGAAAUACUUUUUUUCAGAUUUGCAUUAUAAAGCAUAGAAA